RNAcentral lists this ribosomal RNA (497 nucleotides) under uncultured bacterium. RNAcentral describes it as "partial 16S ribosomal RNA". It matches the Rfam family "Bacterial small subunit ribosomal RNA", at positions 28 to 507 of the family's 1533-position model. The record is from RNAcentral.
GAUGAACGCUGGCGGCGUGCCUAAUACAUGCAAGUCGAGCGAACAGACGAGGAGCUUGCUCCUCUGACGUUAGCGGCGGACGGGUGAGUAACACGUGGAUAACCUACCUAUAAGACUGGGAUAACUUCGGGAAACCGGAGCUAAUACCGGAUAAUAUAUUGAACCGCAUGGUUCAAUAGUUCAAGGCGGUUUUGGUGUCACUUAGAGCUGGAUCCGCGCCGCAUUAGAUAGUUGGUAAGGUAACGGCUUACCAAGGCAACGAUGCGUAGCCGACCUGAGAGGGUGAUCGGCCACACUGGAACUGAGACACGGUCCAGACUCCUACGGGAGGCAGCAGUAGGGAAUCUUCGACAAUGGGCGCAAGCCUGACCCAGCCACACCGCGUGAGUGAAGAAGGCCUUCGGGUCGUAAAGCUCUGUUGUUGGGGAAGAAAAACAGCAUGAGAAUCCCUCGCUGUUCUGACGGUACCCAAAGAAAAAGCACCGGCUAACUUCGUG